This 76-nucleotide transfer RNA is filed under the name Escherichia coli. RNAcentral's name for it is "tRNA-Lys". It matches the Rfam family "tRNA". Rfam says of the family: Transfer RNA (tRNA) molecules are approximately 80 nucleotides in length. Their secondary structure includes four short double-helical elements and three loops (D, anti-codon, and T loops). The record is from RNAcentral. Lineage: Bacteria; Pseudomonadati; Pseudomonadota; Gammaproteobacteria; Enterobacterales; Enterobacteriaceae.
GGGGCGUUAGCUCAGUUGGCAGAGCUGUUGACUCUUAAUCAACUGGUCCUGGGUUCGAAUCCCAGACGCCCCACCA